RNAcentral lists this ribosomal RNA (253 nucleotides) under uncultured bacterium. Its description in RNAcentral is "partial 16S ribosomal RNA". It matches the Rfam family "Bacterial small subunit ribosomal RNA", at positions 524 to 776 of the family's 1533-position model. The record is from RNAcentral.
GACGUAGGGGACGAGCGUUGUCCGGAUUUAUUGGGCGUAAAGAGCGCGUAGGCGGCUUGGUAAGUCGGAUGUGAAAUCCCGGGGCUCAACCCCGUGACUGCACCCGAAACUGCCCGGCUAGAGGUAGGUAGGGGAGAUCGGAAUUCCUGGUGUAGCGGUGAAAUGCGUAGAUAUCAGGAGGAACACCUGUGGUGUAGACAGCUUACUGGACCACGACUGACGCUGAGGCGCGAAAGCGUGGGUAGCAAACAGG